UGUAAAGCAAAUGGAAACAGUUUUAACACUUCUUCUUGUUCUUUGGGCAUAACUACUUUUUGAAAGUUUUGGUCGCCAAAACUACAUAACGCCAACUAUCCCUGACAUGAACUAGGACCCUUCAGUUCACCACACCCAAACGUUUCAAAUUAUCCCUUACACCAUCCAAAUAUCUUUUCCUGGGUCUGCUAAGAGGGGUUUUUUCCUUGAGAUACCCAUUCGAGAGCUGCACUUUCCUUCCGACGCAUAAUGUGUCCAUGCUAGUGAAUCUACUGGCCUCUAAUAAAAUUCGGUUCAGUUCAUUCUUUCAAUUGUACUCAUUGAGGUCCAGGCCUCACACCCAUACGUUAGUGUUGGUCAGAUAAUAGCCACAUAAAGCCUACUAUUUGUUCCUUUUGAAAAUAUCUUAGAGUUAAAGAAUUUCCUUAGAAUGUAAAAAGUUUUCCCAGCUUUAUUCCGACAGAUGUUUAU
Non-coding RNA from Cinara cedri, 471 nucleotides. The record is from the annotation of a GenBank genome assembly. NCBI's taxonomy places the organism in Eukaryota, Metazoa, Arthropoda, Insecta, Hemiptera, Aphididae.